RNAcentral lists this unclassified non-coding RNA (217 nucleotides) under Hevea brasiliensis (rubber tree). Lineage: Eukaryota; Viridiplantae; Streptophyta; Magnoliopsida; Malpighiales; Euphorbiaceae. The record is from RNAcentral.
AUUUUUUCAGAUGGUAUUCACAAUUUCUUCUAAACUCUUGAUCUCUGAACAUGUAUCAUUUUCACUCGGAUAAUGCAAUAAUUUUAAAUUCUCAGGGAUUGCAUUCUGAAUGAAGUUUUACUAUGUCAAAAAUAAUUUGCAAUUGUCUUGUUGAACAUUUGUUGUUCAAAUAGAGAUUGUAAAAUUGGUAGCAUCCUAAACAUUGAUAUUUGAUGAA